Centropristis striata (black sea bass) is the source of this 1294-nucleotide long non-coding RNA. RefSeq lists it as uncharacterized. Lineage: Eukaryota; Metazoa; Chordata; Actinopteri; Perciformes; Serranidae. The transcript has 5 exons. The record is from RefSeq and is a predicted model, not a curated record.
UGAUUUGCUUUUUCAUUUAUAUUGAUAUAUAUUUGGGUUUGGGGCUGUGUACAUUUUUGAGACCUGGAAGCAUUUUUAUUGAUGCCAAGGGAAUUAUAAUUACUCGUCCAUUUAGGUAUUAUAUAUUUAUUUUUUAAACCUCAUAUUGUAACUUUUUCUUCCCCAGCUUUAUGCUCCGCGCUCUGCAAAACGAAAUGUACAGGGACCCUAACUUUGUCCAAUAAAAUGAUCUGUUUUUGUCCAGAAUACUUCACUUUUUUUUUUUUUUUUUUAAAUACUUUAAUCAGUACUUGUAGCAGCCAUUAGCCUGCUGGAAAUGUGGCAGCAGGGGAGCACUGCUCUUGUGAAUGUUCAUUCAUGGUUUUCAGAGCAUGGCAGACUCGAGUAUCCUCACAUUGUCCGCUAAGAAAGUGCAGAGAAAAUAGUUUUCCUGGGUGGUCCGACUCAUUAAUACACUCCGCACUUCUUGAUUUACGGCUCACAGUUCAACUGCUGCCAAUUAACGUGAAAACGCGUAGAAAAAAAAGAGGAAGAAAAAAAAACGGGAAGUCCAGAGAGGGGGGAGGCCACCGAGUUUCCUCCACAAAACCUGAGUGAAGAUGAACCUGCCCUCCACAUCAAGGUUUUGUCUAAAAAAGACGUCUCCUGCAGCCGACACCAGUCUGUUUGAAAACAUACAGUAGGAAGAUGAUGAGAAGGCUUCUUCUUUUCUGCUACUUCUUUGAUGGUUUGAAGAAGGGCGGCUCAGUUGGAAAAAGAACAAACCAGUGAAUCAUGCUUUUUCCCACACUGGAUGAUGAAGUGCACAUACCGUCUACUCUGCCAAGCAACAACUCACUCAUUUUAAGUGGAGGCACAAUACAAAGGUGGAAUUUGGAGUGUUCUGCAGGCCCCCUCCCCGUGAGACCCACAGACCAUACUGCGAAUGGGAUAUUGUUCUGGGCUCCAACAAAGCUGUUUUCACCCUCUUCAAUAUUACAGGAGGAGUUACCUGAUACCUAACAAUCAGCUAAUCCACUGCCCAUGGCGACGAGGUCACCUGUGCACAGGUAACUUUAUCCUGGUUGCCUGCCUCUCCCUCCCUUUCCCGCUAGUCUCUCCCAUUUUUUUCUUCUCUCUCUCUGUGCCUCAACAGUGAGCACAGACAAACAGCCUCUGUUUAUUUAGGUCAUGAGUUAGAUCGUAUAUAACUCCUCCAGCCAGGAUCCGCUGAGAGGACAACUCCUAUAAUCCACCACAGACACGCUGCGAAUAAAAUAAAAUCCCCUGCUGUUCGUCCAUUUGUCAAACUUUG